Molecule: non-coding RNA, 182 nt
Filed under: Bhargavaea beijingensis
Lineage: Bacteria; Bacillati; Bacillota; Bacilli; Caryophanales; Caryophanaceae
Description: 6S RNA
Rfam family: 6S / SsrS RNA
About the family: E. coli 6S RNA was the first non coding RNA to be sequenced, but its function was unknown until recently. It consists of 184 nucleotides that fold into an extended hairpin structure with a large single-stranded internal bulge.
Source: RNAcentral
CAGAUCCUGAUGUGUUCGUUAUUUGUCUAUCAGUUUUGACCGAACAUUCAAAUCGUAGGGAGUCCGAAUACCGGCAUUGCUGGCAUGCCCCUCAGAGGGAAGUCAAACGUGCCGGUGAGGGCACCCACCUGCCUGGUGCGGGUUCAAAACGAUUACCCAAAGACGGCACGAUCGGGAUCUGU